GGCGGACGGGUGAGUAACACGUGGGCAACCUGCCUAUAAGACUGGGAUAACUUCGGGAAACCGGAGCUAAUACCGGAUACGUUCUUUUCUCGCAUGAGAGAAGAUGGAAAGACGGUUUACGCUGUCACUUAUAGAUGGGCCCGCGGCGCAUUAGCUAGUUGGUGAGGUAAUGGCUCACCAAGGCGACGAUGCGUAGCCGACCUGAGAGGGUGAUCGGCCACACUGGGACUGAGACACGGCCCAGACUCCUACGGGAGGCAGCAGUAGGGAAUCUUCCGCAAUGGACGAAAGUCUGACGGAGCAACGCCGCGUGAACGAAGAAGGCCUUCGGGUCGUAAAGUUCUGUUGUUAGGGAAGAACAAGUACCAGAGUAACUGCUGGUACCUUGACGGUACCUAACCAGAAAGCCACGGCUAACUACGUGCCAGCAGCCGCGGUAAUACGUAGGUGGCAAGCGUUGUCCGGAAUUAUUGGGCGUAAAGCGCGCGCAGGUGGUUCCUUAAGUCUGAUGUGAAAGCCCACGGCUCAACCGUGGAGGGUCAUUGGAAACUGGGGAACUUGAGUGCAGAAGAGGAAAGUGGAAUUCCAAGUGUAGCGGUGAAAUGCGUAGAGAUUUGGAGGAACACCAGUGGCGAAGGCGACUUUCUGGUCUGUAACUGACACUGAGGCGCGAAAGCGU
This 679-nucleotide ribosomal RNA is filed under the name Bacillus sp. EECC-307. RNAcentral's name for it is "bacterial SSU rRNA". It matches the Rfam family "Bacterial small subunit ribosomal RNA", at positions 97 to 762 of the family's 1533-position model. The record is from RNAcentral. Lineage: Bacteria; Bacillati; Bacillota; Bacilli; Caryophanales; Bacillaceae.